This 214-nucleotide ribosomal RNA is filed under the name Pseudomonas fluorescens. RNAcentral's name for it is "partial 16S ribosomal RNA". It matches the Rfam family "Bacterial small subunit ribosomal RNA", at positions 567 to 780 of the family's 1533-position model. The record is from RNAcentral. Lineage: Bacteria; Pseudomonadati; Pseudomonadota; Gammaproteobacteria; Pseudomonadales; Pseudomonadaceae.
GCGCGUAGGUGGUUUGUUAAGUUGGAUGUGAAAGCCCCGGCCUCAACCUGGGAACUGCAUUCAAAACUGUCAAGCUAGAGUACGGUAGAGGGUGGUGGAAUUUCCUGUGUAGCGGUGAAAUGCGUAGAUAUAGGAAGGAACACCAGUGGCGAAGGCGACCUCCUGGACUGAUACUGACUCUGAGGUGCGAAAGCCUGGGGAGCAGACACGAUUA